UGGGGAAUAUUGCGCAAUGGGCGAAAGCCUGACGCAGCAACGCCGCGUGAGUGAUGAAGGCCUUCGGGUCGUAAAGCUCUGUCGGAGGGAACGAAUGCUCUUGAGGUUAACAGCCUCGGGAGGUGACGGUACCCUCAAAGGAAGCACCGGCUAACUACGUGCCAGCAGCCGCGGUAAUACGUAGGGUGCAAGCGUUAAUCGGAAUUACUGGGCGUAAAGCGUGCGCAGGCGGCUUUGCAAGACAGGUGUGAAAUCCCCGGGCUUAACCUGGGAACUGCAUUUGUGACUGCAAGGCUGAAGUGCGGCAGAGGGGGAUGGAAUUCCGCGUGUAGCAGUGAAAUGCGUAGAUAUGCGGAAGAACACCAGUGGCGAAGGCGGCCAACUGGCUCGAUACUGACGCUGAGGUGCGAAAGCGUGGGGAGCAAACAGGAUUAGAUACCCAAGUAGUCCCUGAGCGGGCUGGCAAGGCGCAU
RNAcentral lists this ribosomal RNA (473 nucleotides) under uncultured bacterium. RNAcentral describes it as "bacterial SSU rRNA". It matches the Rfam family "Bacterial small subunit ribosomal RNA", at positions 355 to 825 of the family's 1533-position model. The record is from RNAcentral.